RNAcentral lists this ribosomal RNA (429 nucleotides) under Verrucomicrobiota bacterium. RNAcentral describes it as "Verrucomicrobia bacterium partial 16S ribosomal RNA". It matches the Rfam family "Bacterial small subunit ribosomal RNA", at positions 355 to 776 of the family's 1533-position model. Lineage: Bacteria; Pseudomonadati; Verrucomicrobiota. The record is from RNAcentral.
UAGGGAAUCUUCCGCAAUGGACGAAAGUCUGACGGAGCAACGCCGCGUGAGUGAAGAAGGAUUUCGGUUCGUAAAACUCUGUUGUUAGGGAAGAAAAAAUGUAUAGUAACUAUAUACAAAAGAGACGGUACCUAACCAGAAAGCCACGGCUAACUACGUGCCAGCAGCCGCGGUAAUACGUAGGUGGAAAGCGUUGUCCGGAAUUAUUGGGCGUAAAGCGCGCGCAGGUGGUUUAGAAAGUCUGAUGUGAAAGCCCACGGCUCAACCGUGGAAGGUCAUUGGUAACUAAUAAACUUGAGUGCAGGAGAGAAAAGUGGAAUUCCUAGUGUAGCGGUGAAGUGGGUAGAGAUUAGGAGGAACACCGGUGGCGAAAGCGGCUUUUUGGCCUGCAAAUGACACUGAGGCGCGAAAGCGUGGGGAGCAAACAGG